Molecule: ribosomal RNA, 253 nt
Filed under: uncultured bacterium
Lineage: Bacteria
Description: partial 16S ribosomal RNA
Rfam family: Bacterial small subunit ribosomal RNA
Source: RNAcentral
UACGAAGGUGGCAAGCGUUGUUCGGAUUUACUGGGCGUAAAGGGAGCGUAGGUGGUCGGGUAAGCCCCGCGGGAAAGCUCCAGGCUUAACCUGGAAAGGUCGCGGGGGACUGCGCGGCUAGAGGACGGGAGAGGAGCGCGGAAUUCCCGGUGUAGCGGUGAAAUGCGUAGAGAUCGGGAGGAAGGCCGGUGGCGAAGGCGGCGCUCUGGAACGGCCCUGACACUGAGGCUCGAAAGCGUGGGGAGCAAACGGG